GUAAGGAAUAUUGGUCAAUGGGGGCAACCCUGAACCAGCCAUGCCGCGUGAAGGAUGAAGGCGUUAUGCGUUGUAAACUUCUUUUGUAUGGGAAGAAUGACAGGGAUUCAUCCUUGGAGAGACGGUACCAUACGAAUAAGCACCGGCUAACUCCGUGCCAGCAGCCGCGGUAAUACGGAGGGUGCAAGCGUUAUCCGGAAUCACUGGGUUUAAAGGGUACGUAGGCGGUUAAUUAAGUCAGUAGUGAAAGACUGUCGCUCAACGACGGAUGUGCUAUUGAUACUGGUUAACUUGAAUCAGGUUAGAGUUGGCGGAAUGGGUCAUGUAGCGGUGAAAUGCAUAGAUAUUAUCAAGAACACCGAUUGCGAAGGCAGCUUACUAAGGAGUAACUGACGCUGAGGCACGAAAGCGUGGGGAUCAAACAGGAUUAGAUACCCUGGUAGUCC
Molecule: ribosomal RNA, 446 nt
Filed under: uncultured bacterium
Lineage: Bacteria
Description: partial 16S ribosomal RNA
Rfam family: Bacterial small subunit ribosomal RNA
Source: RNAcentral